AGGCAACAAUUAAUCCAAUUUUUUCUGAGUUUUGAAAACAUAUGUGAUAAAGGAAUUUGUUGAAGUUUGCUCUCAUUUGGGAAAUCUUUGGCUUGUGCCCUACAUUUCCAGUGUUUAUAAAUAAAAAAAAAUCACCCGGUGGUUGGUCUGAUUUUCCCUACCAUGUCUUUUGUUCACCGACUUGAUAUUGUGCAAUUAUUGUAUGUGUAUCUCUACUAAUCCUUUUGCUUAUGCCAGAGUAUAGCAAAUCAGGAAAUUAUUUUUUUCUUUUUGGAUUUAAUAGUUUAGAAUAUUUCAAGGGUGAAAGUUACGUAUAUUUUACAUUUUAUAUUAUUUUAAUAUCCCACUAGUGUAGCCAACAGUCUUUUCCAAAUUGGUUGAUGCUGAAUACUAAAUAGAAUAAAUCUGAAUGAGCAUUUCAUUCUGAAAGUUGGGAGUGAGAACACUAACAUAAACAAGAAGCAAGGGUAAGGAAUUAAAAUUAUAGAUAGAUGUGACAGGAAUCAUACAAGGGCAAAAUAUUAGGGUUUAUAUAUGAUAUAGUCAUUGUAUUUGGGAAAGCUAAAUACUGAUGUUUUAUGUGUUUAGAUGGAAUUAUUGAAGCACAACCUCGGUGUUGAAUAUUCUGGGCUAAUAAGUAGAUUUCUUCGCAAUUAGUAUAAUGAAUAUGUACCAGAUGUUCUUAGGAAUUUUAAGCACUGAUGUGAAUAGAUUAAAAUGUCAGAGUUGAGAGAGGUUCUUCUCUUUUAAGCAUUAGAACCUAGGUGAUGGAUUACAAAAGCUAUGAUUCAUAAUCAGAAAAGACCAAGAGUAAAUAUAUGGAUGAUAAAAAAAAGGUUAAAAAUCUGCUCAAAGUGACUUAUAUAUAUCCCUGGAACAUAUAAUAUUGAACAAUAUGAAACAAAUCAAAAUAAAGCAUAUCAAGAUGCUCUUCAUAGGCAUGUGAGAGGGUCUUGAAUUAUCAGCCUUUGCCUUACUGUUUUUUCAAUAGAAAUGUGUGACACUUUAAGGUCACAUAUUGCUAUGGAUAUUGAAGAGGUAGAAGUUUGUAUGGAAUGGAUGGGUAGCUGAUAAAUUUGUAAUGCAGCUGUUAUUUAAUAUUAGAAUACAUUUUUCUAUCUUCAACCAUCUAAUACAAUAUACACAUUAUAGCCUCAUUAUCAAGAAUUAUAUGAUAACUUUGUUCACAGUCAUCCAUUAGAUUAGUACAAAGUACUAGGAAUUCUUUACAAAUUGGAAUAGAUUUUAAAUAUUUUAUAAUGGAAAUCACAAGAUUUAUGAACUUUCCAAGAGUGUAAAUUGUGUUGUUUUUAUCAGGAAUUUAAACAAAUAUCUGUACUAAACUUUUAUUUUUGUUUGAGAGUCAAAUUGGAACGUAUCAUGGAAGGAGGCAAUGUCAAAUUGACGGGUUCAAGUAUUCACCAAGAAAUACAGCUGAUCAUCCUCAUCUCUCUGUGGCAGCUACCAUGUCUUAUUCUUCCUCACAGAAAGGAUUCUGAACAAUACAAAGUAGAAGGAUGAGGACUGACUGCAAGGUAUACGUUGGUAAUCUUGGCAACACUGAAGCCAAACACGAGCUGGAAUCGGCCUUCUCCAAGUAUGGACCCCUAGUGAAUGUGUGGGUGGCAAGGAACCCACCUGGAUUUGCCUUUGUGGAAUUCGAGGACCCUCGGGAUGCAGAAGAUGCUGUGCGGGCCCUGGAUGGAACACGCAUGUGUGGGGUCCGUGUGAAAGUCGAAAUGUCAACAGGACGCUCUCGACGUGACCGCUUCCAUUCCCCUCCCAGACGUGGUGGUGGUGGGGGAAGACGGUCGAGGACUAUCUCGCCCAAAUUACUUCUUGUUCCACCACCACCAUCUACUCCUCCUACUGUUGCUACCACACCACCACCACCAACUCCACCACAACCACCACCACCACCACAAGUACUUCCACCACCACCACCACCACCACCACUGCUAGCAUCAGCGUCAGCCUGCUUGUACAGUGGACUUCCAGUUUUGGGUUGUAGGGGUAGAUGGGACGCCACAUUGUGGGCGUCCCUCACACCCAUCACCUCAUACCUCAGUGGGAAUGCAACUUGGUUCAGCACUAUAUGUUGAUCAAGUAACUCUCCAGGAUGGUAAAGUGUGACAGUAUUUCGUAAUACUUUUAUGCUUUACUGAUCUAAGGAUGGCAUUGCAUACCAGUGUUGGUAAGGUGGUGGGCCCUGAUCAGCCAAGGCAUGUGCAGCGGUGGUGGUGCGCGGCACGUUGCCUGAUGGCCCUCCUCCGGCGCGGCACCUCAUGGCACCCGGGCAGCCCUUAUGCGCUUCACGUGUCCUCUUCUCCCCGCCCGUCUACGUCUACCCUCCGCCCAACGCCCGCCCGCUGCCUGCGCACCAUCAGGCCUGCCCCCCCACCCACCAUCUUGGGUCUCUGACCCUUCAACGCUCGCUCCACUUUCUUACAUUCAUCGCGCCUCGACUCAUCAUAACGGCUACCCUGCUGUGACGGUCACGAUCUCCCAGGCGUUUUGGAGGCGGCGGUCGUGGUGGUGGACGCUCACGUUCUCGCUCGCCCCGCAGGUCGCGCUCACGUUCUCCAAGUGACCAUGAAUAUGAGGCAAGGUAAUGUUUCU
This 2619-nucleotide unclassified non-coding RNA is filed under the name Penaeus japonicus. RNAcentral's name for it is "rNA-binding protein 1-like, transcript variant X1". Lineage: Eukaryota; Metazoa; Arthropoda; Malacostraca; Decapoda; Penaeidae. The record is from RNAcentral.